This 481-nucleotide ribosomal RNA is filed under the name uncultured bacterium. Its description in RNAcentral is "SSU rRNA". It matches the Rfam family "Bacterial small subunit ribosomal RNA", at positions 26 to 523 of the family's 1533-position model. The record is from RNAcentral.
AGGACGAACGCUGGCGGCGUGCUUAGCACAUGCAAGUCGAACGGAAAGGCCCGCUUGCGGGUACUCGAGUGGCGAACGGGUGAGUAACACGUGGGCAACCUGCCCUCAGCUUCGGGAUAACACUUGGAAACAGGUGCUAAUACCGGAUAAUAACCUUUCAUCGCAUGGUGUGGGGUUCAAAGUUUUUCGGCUGGGGAUGGGCCCGCGGCCUAUCAGCUUGUUGGUGGGGUAAUGGCCUACCAAGGCGACGACGGGUAGCCGGCCUGAGAGGGCGACCGGCCACACUGGGACUGAGACACGGCCCAGACUCCUACGGGAGGCAGCAGUGGGGAAUAUUGCGCAAUGGGCGGAAGCCUGACGCAGCGACGCCGCGUGAGGGAUGACGGCCUUCGGUUGUAAACCUCUUUCAGCUCUGACGAAGCGCAAGUGACGGUAGGAGCAGAAGAAGCACCGGCCAACUACGCGCCAGCAGCCGCGGUAA